ACGGGUGAGUAACGCGUGGGAAUCUACCGUGCCCUGCGGAAUAGCUCCGGGAAACUGGAAUUAAUAUCGCAUACGCCCUACGGGGGAAAGAUUUAUCGGGGUAUGAUGAGCCCGCGUUGGAUUAGCUAGUUGGUGGGGUAAAGGCCUACCAAGGCGACGAUCCAUAGCUGGUCUGAGAGGAUGAUCAGCCACAUUGGGACUGAGACACGGCCCAAACUCCUACGGGAGGCAGCAGUGGGGAAUAUUGGACAAUGGGCGCAAGCCUGAUCCAGCCAUGCCGCGUGAGUGAUGAAGGCCUUAGGGUUGUAAAGCUCUUUCACCGGAGAAGAUAAUGACGGUAUCCGGAGAAGAAGCCCCGGCUAACUUCGUGCCAGCAGCCGCGGUAAUACGAAGGGGGCUAGCGUUGUUCGGAAUUACUGGGCGUAAAGCGCACGUAGGCGGAUAUUUAAGUCAGGGGUGAAAUCCCAGAGCUCAACUCUGGAACUGCCUUUGAUACUGGGUAUCUUGAGUAUGGAAGAGGUAAGUGGAAUUCCGAGUGUAGAGGUGAAAUUCGUAGA
RNAcentral lists this ribosomal RNA (557 nucleotides) under uncultured Rhizobium sp. RNAcentral describes it as "bacterial SSU rRNA". It matches the Rfam family "Bacterial small subunit ribosomal RNA", at positions 102 to 694 of the family's 1533-position model. Lineage: Bacteria; Pseudomonadati; Pseudomonadota; Alphaproteobacteria; Hyphomicrobiales; Rhizobiaceae. The record is from RNAcentral.